AUUAUCACAAAGCAGUUCAGAGAAGGUUCACGUGAUGAUUUUCUGGAUUGAAGGGUUCCCUAAGGAGAAAAGUUGAGCAAGAUCUGCACUCGCUAAUCAGAAAAUGAAAUAAAAAAGAGGUUAUUGAAAUAUGUAAAAUUCUGACUGGAAGUUGUGGCAGCAGAACUGGGCGACACAGUUUCUAAAUAAAGUGUCUCCCAUUUCAGGGUGGAGAUAAGGAAGGAUGUUUUCUAAGAAUGAUUAAUCUUUGGAAUUUCCUGUCGAGGGAGCAAUGGACGUAGAUUACUGAAGUACAUUCAAGGCUGAGUUAGAUUUUUAACCUUUUAUGGAGAACAGGCAGAAAAGUGGCGAUCAGGCUGUGGUUAAAUCAUCUUGGCCUAAAUGGCCCUGUCCUUCUCUCAAUUCUAUUCAAAGCUCCUCACUCUAUUCAUUGCUCCCUUUGUGUGCGGAAAUUCUUAUCGUACAAAACCCAGUGUCCAAUCUGUUGUGUGCCUGUGACAGAACCAGAGCUACGCAAUAACAGAAUAUUGGAUGAAGUGGUGAAAUGUUUCCGCUCUGCAAG
This is a long non-coding RNA of Rhincodon typus (whale shark), 562 nucleotides long. RefSeq lists it as uncharacterized. NCBI's taxonomy places the organism in Eukaryota, Metazoa, Chordata, Chondrichthyes, Orectolobiformes, Rhincodontidae. The record is from RefSeq and is a predicted model, not a curated record. The transcript has 3 exons.